UGCCAGCCGCCGCGGUAAUACGAAGGUCUCAAGCGUUGUUCGGAAUCACUGGGCGUAAAGCGUGUGUAGGCUGCGCGGAAAGUCAAAUGUGAAAGCCCGGGGCUCAACCUCGGAACUGCAUUCGAUACUCCCGUGCUAGAGUAAUGGAGAGGUAAGUGGAAUUCCUGGUGUAGCAGUGAAAUGCGUAGAUAUAGGAAGGAACACCAGUGGCGAAGGCGACACCCUGGACCAAUACUGACGCUGAGGUGCGAAAGCGUGGGUAGCAAACAGGAUUAGAUA
This 279-nucleotide ribosomal RNA is filed under the name uncultured bacterium. Its description in RNAcentral is "partial 16S ribosomal RNA". It matches the Rfam family "Bacterial small subunit ribosomal RNA", at positions 506 to 784 of the family's 1533-position model. The record is from RNAcentral.